CUUGGUCAUUUAGAGGAAGUAAAAGUCGUAACAAGGUUUCCGUAGGUGAACCUGCGGAAGGAUCACUAAAGAGAACUUGCCCUUCGGGGUAGAUCUCCCACCCUUUGUUUAUCACACUUUGUUGCUUUGGCGGGCCUGCCUCACGGCUGCCGGCGUAAGCUGGCUCGCGCCCGCCAGAGACCCCCAAACUCUGAAUAUUGUCGUCUGAGUAAUAUAUAAUAAGUUAAAACUUUCAACAACGGAUCUCUUGGUUCUGGCAUCGAUGAAGAACGCAGCGAAAUGCGAUAAGUAAUGUGAAUUGCAGAAUUCAGUGAAUCAUCGAAUCUUUGAACGCACAUUGCGCCCUCUGGUAUUCCGGGGGGCAUGCCUGUUCGAGCGUCAUUACAACCCUCAAGCUCUGCUUGGUAUUGGGCGUCACCACCUGGUGCGCCCCAAAAACAGUGGCGGUGCCGUCUGGCUUCAAGCGUAGUAAUUUCUCUCGCUCCGGAGUCCAGGCGAGUGCUCGCCAGAACCCCCAAUUUAUCAAAGGUUGACCUCGGAUCAGGUAGGGAUACCCGCUGAACUUAAGCAUAUCAAUAAGCGGAGGA
This 587-nucleotide ribosomal RNA is filed under the name uncultured Leotiomyceta. RNAcentral describes it as "eukaryotic LSU rRNA". The stretch from base 228 to 381 matches the Rfam family "5.8S ribosomal RNA". Lineage: Eukaryota; Fungi; Ascomycota. The record is from RNAcentral.